Ananas comosus (pineapple) is the source of this 1507-nucleotide RNA transcript. It is a transcript of the gene named stress-induced-phosphoprotein 1, with no coding region annotated. The transcript is spliced from 9 exons. The record is from RefSeq and is a predicted model, not a curated record. NCBI's taxonomy places the organism in Eukaryota, Viridiplantae, Streptophyta, Magnoliopsida, Poales, Bromeliaceae.
UGCCAUUUCAUUUCAUUUCAUUUCCAGCGGUAACGGUGGUAGCUCCUGCUCCAUAGCACGAAGGCCGAAUCCAAAACCCUAACCCUAGGUGGAAGAGAGAGCGAGAGAGAGCGAGAGAGAGAGAGAGAGAGAGAGAGAGCCAUGGCCGAAGGAGGCGGUGGAGGAGCGUCGCUGAAGGAUCAGGGCAAUGAGUUCUUCAAGGCCGGGAACUACUUGAAAGCGGCGGCGCUCUACACGCAGGCGAUCAAGAUGGAGCCCAACAAUCCCACCCUCUACAGCAAUCGGGCUGCUGCAUUUCUGCAUUUGGUUAAACUCAAUAAAGCGCUUGCUGAUGCUGAGACAACAAUUACUCUUAACCCCCAGUGGGAGAAGGGUUAUUUCAGGAAAGGCUGUAUUUUGGAGGCAAUGGAACGCUAUGAUGAUGCUAUAGCUGCUUUCCAACUGGCUUUGCAGUACAAUCCACAGAGUGUGGAAGUUUCCAAAAAAAUAAAAAGGCUCUCUCAAUUAGCCAGAGAUAAGAAACGGGUUCUUGAAGUAGAAAGUAUGAGAUCGAGCAUUGACAUUGCAAAAUACUUGGAACCUUUGAAAUCUGAACUGUCUGCAAAAUGUGGAGAUGCGGAAGUAUCUCAAUGUAUCUUCUCUUUUAUUGUUGAAGUCAUGGACACGGCCGUCAAAGUUUGGCAUGAAACUGCUAAGGUGGAUGCCAGGGUCAAUUUUCUUCUCGAUAAGCAGAAGACUCAGACUGAUAAAUAUGCUCCGGUAGUCAAUAUUGAUAAGGCUUUCGAGUCCCCUCACACGCACAGCAGUUGUUUCUCAUAUUUGAGGCAAUAUGCAGAGGAGUCAUUUUCCAAAGCUGCUUGCUUGGUAGCGCCCAAAAGCAUUAUAUCGUAUCCUCAGGUUUGGAAAGGGCAGGGAUCAAGAAAGUGGAAGCUUGGGCAGAGUGAUGGUUUCUUUGUUCAGUUUGAAUCACCUUUCAUUCGUAAGCUGUGGUUUGUUCCUAGUUCAACCGAAAAAGGUCGGACCUUGUGCAGGAAUCCGGAGCCUUUGGAUAUCAGUGCCCACGAAGUGCUUCCUCGUCUAUUCAAAGAGCCUGCUUCUGAUGCCAGAUAAUCCUUUAUUGCCGUUUAAUCGACGGUCAAUAGUGGAUUAAACGUUUGAUCAUACCUCAAGGGGUUUUUUUUGGUUACGUUAUUGAAGAGUUGGUCUACUUGUAUGUUCAUCAAAGGAGCAUUGUGAGCCUCAAUUUUUUGUUCUUCAUGCAAUGACUGUUGCAGUAGAGGGGUUGAUGGGAUGGAGAGAGGCUCAAAUUUUGAAUAUCAUGUGAAAGAGAUGUUUACGAUUCCGCGUCAUUGGUUUUGAGACAUUGGUUUUGAGAGAGGUUUAAGAUUCGGUGUCAUUGUUUAACCUUUUUCCAGCAGAAGCAACGUAAAAGCUUUGAUUUAACCUCAUCACCUUGCCAUUGCUUUCCGAAUUAUUGAGAAAUUGUUGUAUGUACCGUUGUUUUCGA